GACGAACGCUGGCGGCGUGCCUAAUACAUGCAAGUAGAACGCUGAGGGAGGAGCUUGCUUCUCUGGAUGAGUUGCGAACGGGUGAGUAACGCGUAGGUAACCUGCCUGGUAGCGGGGGAUAACUAUUGGAAACGAUAGCUAAUACCGCAUAAGAGUAGAUGUUGCAUGACAUUUGCUUAAAAGGUGCAAUUGCAUCACUACCAGAUGGACCUGCGUUAUAUUAGCUAGUUGGUGGGGUAACGGCUCACCAAGGCGACGAUACAUAGCCGACCUGAGAGGGUGAUCGGCCACACUGGGACUGAGACACGGCCCAGACUCCUACGGGAGGCAGCAGUAGGGAAUCUUCGGCAAUGGACGGAAGUCUGACCGAGCAACGCCGCGUGAGUGAAGAAGGUUUUCGGAUCGUAAAGCUCUGUUGUAAGAGAAGAACGAGUGUGAGAGUGGAAAGUUCACACUGUGACGGUAUCUUACCAGAAAGGGACGGCUAACUACGUG
Molecule: ribosomal RNA, 495 nt
Filed under: uncultured bacterium
Lineage: Bacteria
Description: partial 16S ribosomal RNA
Rfam family: Bacterial small subunit ribosomal RNA
Source: RNAcentral